GACGAACGCUGGCGGCGUGCUUAACACAUGCAAGUCGAACGAAGAGCGAUGGAAGCUUGCUUCUAUCACUCUUAGUGGCGAACGGGUGAGUAACGCGUAAUCAACCUUCCCUUCAGAGGGGGACAACAGUUGGAAACGACUGCUAAUACCGCAUACGAUCCAAUCUCGGCAUCGGGACUGGAUGAAAGGUGGCCUCUAUUUAUAAGCUAUCACUGAAGGAGGGGAUUGCGUCUGAUUAGCUAGUUGGAGGGGUAACGGCCCACCAAGGCGAGGAUCAGUAGCCGGUCGGAGAGGAUGAACGGCCACAUUGGGACUGAGACCCGGCCCAGACGGCUACGGGAGGCAGCAGUGGGGAAUCGUCCGCAAGGGACGAAAGUCUGACGGAGCAACGCCGCGUGAGGGAUGACGGCCUUCGGGUUGUAAAGCUCGGUUAAUCGGGACGAAUGGUUCUUGUGCGAAUAGUGCGAGGAUUUGACGGUACCGGAAUAGAAAGCCACGGCUAACUACGUG
Molecule: ribosomal RNA, 510 nt
Filed under: uncultured bacterium
Lineage: Bacteria
Description: partial 16S ribosomal RNA
Rfam family: Bacterial small subunit ribosomal RNA
Source: RNAcentral